Molecule: long non-coding RNA, 936 nt
Organism: Xenopus laevis (African clawed frog)
Lineage: Eukaryota; Metazoa; Chordata; Amphibia; Anura; Pipidae
Exons: 3
Source: RefSeq, a predicted model, not a curated record
AACUACAGAUGGAAAGAAAAAGGGUAAAUGAAAGAGACUGAACAGAUUUAUCUUAAUUUUCCUUAUGUGAGCUGUCUGUGCGACUUUCCUGGUAAAAGCCAUGCUGACAAAUACAUGGAAACUGCUUUCACAUAUUAUGUUGUUUCUGUGCAUUCUAAAGUUUUCUCAUGUACACAAAUGAUCUAUGCUGCCUAGCCAGGAUAAAUUGCCUGAGUCAGGGAUUAGGGAGCACUUUGCAGCAGGAAAAAUUACAUCUUACUAGAACUGUUGAUAUGGCAGUUCCUGUUAUUGAAAUGCAUAUCUUGUUUUUUUUAACAAAUAUUUUUUAUUGAAGAUUUUUUUGACAUACAAAAGAAAAGCAAACAAUCCCGAACACAAGAGGCACAUUUGAAGUACAGGUUACAUUCAGAGUAAAUAGAGCAGCACUGCUUAGAGUUGGGGACCACUACAGAACACAGAACAUAAGGAUCAUUACAAGUUAACGCGUAGGAAUGACAGUAAAUAGGAUGUCCUAUUCUCUGCUGCAGCACAGAGAAUGUCUCAGGGGCUGUAGGGUGGAUAUUGAGUGGGGAGAUCACCGGUCGAUCCAUCAUCUGUCAAGAGAAACACACAAAGCAGUCACAAAAGUGCAAGCAUUUACAGUGUACAAUGGGCCUGAAAACAAUCCCUGUUUAAAACAUUAGAUGUGCAGAGUGCACAAUUGUUUGCAUUACUAGUGUUUUCUAUUUUUGUUUGCUUUCCUGUCAACCCUACAAUUUUAGCUAUUUGCACUUCCAUACAGUGCUCUUUACUAGGACACCUUAAGGGGGCUUAUCACCAGUCAUAGGCAUCAUAAUUUUGAUUGUAUGACAUACCACCCAACUUUCAUAAACCAGUUGCUGGAUAAAUGAUGUGCAUCACAGUUUAAAUGUCCUGUUGCUCAAGGAGACAUCAUAU